Molecule: ribosomal RNA, 488 nt
Filed under: uncultured bacterium
Lineage: Bacteria
Description: partial 16S ribosomal RNA
Rfam family: Bacterial small subunit ribosomal RNA
Source: RNAcentral
AUUGAACGCUGGCGGCAGGCCUAACACAUGCAAGUCGAACGGUAACAGGAAGCAGCUUGCUGCUUUGCUGACGAGUGGCGGACGGGUGAGUAAUGUCUGGGAAACUGCCUGAUGGAGGGGGAUAACUACUGGAAACGGUAGCUAAUACCGCAUAACGUCGCAAGACCAAAGAGGGGGACCUUCGGGCCUCUUGCCAUCGGAUGUGCCCAGAUGGGAUUAGCUAGUAGGUGGGGUAACGGCUCACCUAGGCGACGAUCCCUAGCUGGUCUGAGAGGAUGACCAGCCACACUGGAACUGAGACACGGUCCAGACUCCUACGGGGGGCAGCAGUGGGGAAUAUUGCACAAGGGGCGCAAGCCUGAUGCAGCCAUGCCGCGUGUAUGAAGAAGGCCUUCGGGUUGUAAAGUACUUUCAGCGGGGAGGAAGGGAGUAAAGUUAAUACCUUUGCUCAGUGACGUUACCCGCAGAAGAAGCACCGGCUAACUCCG